Molecule: ribosomal RNA, 1343 nt
Filed under: uncultured bacterium
Lineage: Bacteria
Description: 16S ribosomal RNA
Rfam family: Bacterial small subunit ribosomal RNA
Source: RNAcentral
GACGAACGCUGGCGGCGUGCUUAACACAUGCAAGUCGAACGGAAAGGCCCUGCUUUUGUGGGGUGCUCGAGUGGCGAACGGGUGAGUAACACGUGAGUAACCUGCCCUUGACUUUGGGAUAACUUCAGGAAACUGGGGCUAAUACCGGAUAGGAGCUCCUGCUGCAUGGUGGGGGUUGGAAAGUUUCGGCGGUUGGGGAUGGACUCGCGGCUUAUCAGCUUGUUGGUGGGGUAGUGGCUUACCAAGGCUUUGACGGGUAGCCGGCCUGAGAGGGUGACCGGCCACAUUGGGACUGAGAUACGGCCCAGACUCCUACGGGAGGCAGCAGUGGGGAAUAUUGCACAAUGGGCGGAAGCCUGAUGCAGCAACGCCGCGUGCGGGAUGACGGCCUUCGGGUUGUAAACCGCUUUCGCCUGUGACGAAGCGUGAGUGACGGUAAUGGGUAAAGAAGCACCGGCUAACUACGUGCCAGCAGCCGCGGUGAUACGUAGGGUGCGAGCGUUGUCCGGAUUUAUUGGGCGUAAAGGGCUCGUAGGUGGUUGAUCGCGUCGGAAGUGUAAUCUUGGGGCUUAACCCUGAGCGUGCUUUCGAUACGGGUUGACUUGAGGAAGGUAGGGGAGAAUGGAAUUCCUGGUGGAGCGGUGGAAUGCGCAGAUAUCAGGAGGAACACCAGUGGCGAAGGCGGUUCUCUGGGCCUUUCCUGACGCUGAGGAGCGAAAGCGUGGGGAGCGAACAGGCUUAGAUACCCUGGUAGUCCACGCUGUAAACGGUGGGUACUAGGUGUGGGGUCCAUUCCACGGGUUCCGUGCCGUAGCUAACGCUAUAAGUACCCCGCCUGGGGAGUACGGCCGCAAGGCUAAAACUCAAAGGAAUUGACGGGGCCCCGCACAAGCGGCGGAGCAUGCGGAUUAAUUCGAUGCAACGCGUAGAACCUUACCUGGGUUUGACAUGGAUCGGGAGCGCUCAGAGAUGGGUGUGCCUCUUUUGGGGUCGGUUCACAGGUGGUGCAUGGCUGUCGUCAGCUCGUGUCGUGAGAUGUUGGGUUAAGUCCCGCAACGAGCGCAACCCUUGUUCACUGUUGCCAGCACGUUAUGGUGGGGACUCAGUGGAGACCGCCGGGGUCAACUCGGAGGAAGGUGGGGAUGACGUCAAGUCAUCACGCCCCUUAUGUCCAGGGCUUCACGCAUGCUACAAUGGCUGGUACAGAGAGUGGCGAGCCUGUGAGGGUGAGCGAAUCUCGGAAAGCCGGUCUCAGUUCGGAUUGGGGUCUGCAACUCGACCUCAUGAAGUCGGAGUCGCUAGUAAUCGCAGAUCAGCAACGCUGCGGUGAAUACGUUCCCGGG